GCAGCCAUGCCGCGUGUAUGAAGAAGGCCUUCGGGUUGUAAAGUACUUUCAGCAGUGAGGAAGGGGGUGUCGUUAAUAGCGGCAUCUCUUGACGUUAGCUGCAGAAGAAGCACCGGCUAACUCCGUGCCAGCAGCCGCGGUAAUACGGAGGGUGCGAGCGUUAAUCGGAAUUACUGGGCGUAAAGCGCAUGCAGGUGGUUUGUUAAGUCAGAUGUGAAAGCCCGGGGCUCAACCUCGGAACUGCAUUUGAAAACUGGCAAACUAGAGUACUGUAGAGGGGGGGUAGAAUUUCAGGUGUAGCGGUGAAAUGCGUAGAGAUCUGAAGGAAUACCAGUGGCGAAGGCGGCCCCCUGGACAGAUACUGACACUCAGAUGCGAAAGCGUGGGGAGCAAACAGGAUUAGAUACCCUGGUAGUCCACGCCGUAAACGAUGUCUACUUGGAGGUUGUGGCCUUGAGCCGUGGCUUUCGGAGCUAACGCGUUAAGUAGACCGCCUGGGGAGUACGGUCGCAAGAUUAAAACUCAAAUGAAUUGACGGGGGCCCGCACAAGCGGUGGAGCAUGUGGUUUAAUUCGAUGCAACGCGAAGAACCUUACCUACUCUUGACAUCCAGAGAACUAGCAGAGAU
Molecule: ribosomal RNA, 628 nt
Filed under: Vibrio sp.
Lineage: Bacteria; Pseudomonadati; Pseudomonadota; Gammaproteobacteria; Vibrionales; Vibrionaceae
Description: bacterial SSU rRNA
Rfam family: Bacterial small subunit ribosomal RNA
Source: RNAcentral